Molecule: long non-coding RNA, 1517 nt
Organism: Brassica rapa (field mustard)
Lineage: Eukaryota; Viridiplantae; Streptophyta; Magnoliopsida; Brassicales; Brassicaceae
Source: RefSeq, a predicted model, not a curated record
GUCGAUCAGUAUAUAUUUCGCGUUUUUUUUGUUCUGAAUAAUGAUCGGGAUCGAUCGAUCCACUGUAACUUCUAAAGUGGGAUCGAUCGAUCCCGCUUGUCGAACUCAAUAUUUAUCUUUUUUAAAAAAUUACAAUUUUAAGGACAUUACUGCCAUUUUAGAAAAAAAUAGUCUAAUAGGACAUAAAGUAGUAUAAAUUAGUCUAAAGGACAUAUUUACCAUUUUUUUCUCUAAAAAAACAGAUUUCCCAAAAAACAAUUACAUUAAAAUUUAUAGUUAAUUCUGGAAAUCUAAUAACCACAUAUCCUGAAAUAUAAUUAAUUCAAUACUCAAUAUUCUAAGUGUUACGAUAUAUAAGAUAUUAUGUCGAAAAAUGACAAAAGUGUGAAGAUGGAUCAAACAUAAAAACAUGUGUCAAAUAUGAAGAUGGACUAGUUGAAAACCAAAAAAAACCCAUAAACCAUAGAGAGAAAAUUAAAAUUUAUGGUUUGUCAUUUGAACCACCUUAUCUCAAGUAGGUCCGCCUCUUACGACUUGUUCCUCUUUUCUUUUUUUUUUCUUUUUUGGUUUACUUAGAGACACUAGGUAAUAAUCAGCGUUUUAUGUAUGGAAUGUGAUUAUUAGUUUUGCUAUUUUUUAAGGAGAUAUUAAAUUUAUUUAAUCUGGAUAUAGCUUCGGUUUUAGGUUACUUUUUUUGUUUUUAAUCUCCUAAAAUAUAGUAUAAUUAUAAAUCAAUAUUUCUUUUUGGUUUGUUCGGUUCAAAUUGUUGAUAUUUUUGGUUUUUCCGGUAAUAACCAGAAACUAAUAUUAUUUAUUUGGUUUCAGGUUAUAUGGAUUUUAGAUAGUCCUAAUGUCGAACCAAUGGUUUUAUAUUAUAGUUUCUAAACAUAUAAUAGUUAAAGAAAAAGACAAUAAAAUUAUUAAGACAAAUCAUUUCACUACAAUUUGGUCGAUAGUGAAAAAAAAAUUAAAAAGAAAUAUUUCAACUUUCAAAAGAAUUAUAUAUUUAGUUGUAGUAAAUAAUUAGUUAUAUUGUUCAUGUCAAUGUCCAAGUGUAUAUAUAUGCAAAAUAUAUAAAAGUGGUCGGUAAAUAUAUAAACCACUUCACUCAGAGAUUUCAGUGGAUCUGUAUCUUUUUAUUUUUAUUUGGUUUACAAAUUACAACCAAUGAACAAACCACAAAAUUCUCUUUUUACCGAGCAAAUUUCGAGAAUAUUCUUUCGUCUUUCAAAAUAUCAGACGAAAACUCAUUGAUUUUUCUUCUUUUCCUCAGGGUCGGGUUAGAUAGGGGGGCGAACGGUGCGACCGCCCUGGGCCCAAUCCGUUGUCCUCCUAUUUCUUAAUAGAUAAAAGUCCGAUUUUUUCAAAAAAACAUGUAUUUUUAUAUUUAAAACAAAAAGGAGGUCUAAAUUUUUUUAUAUAAAAUAUUUUUUUUAUUUCCAUAGAUUUAUUUUUAAAAAUACUUCUGGUAUUUCGAAAAAAACAUAUAUCUAUCAUAUUUUUUUAAAAAAAUAAUU